AAGUACAAAAAGAUGGAGAUCAUACACUGCAUAUUUUCAGACUAAAACGCUAUGAAACUCGAAAUCAACCACAAGAAAAAAUUUGGAAACACCAUGAAUACUUCAAGAUUAAAGAACACCAUAGUGAAGAAUGAAUGGUUUAACCAAGAAAUUAAACAGGAAAUUAAAAAGUCCAAGAAA
Molecule: long non-coding RNA, 180 nt
Organism: Leopardus geoffroyi (Geoffroy's cat)
Lineage: Eukaryota; Metazoa; Chordata; Mammalia; Carnivora; Felidae
Exons: 3
Source: RefSeq, a predicted model, not a curated record